This is a long non-coding RNA of Carassius auratus (goldfish), 598 nucleotides long. RefSeq lists it as uncharacterized. NCBI's taxonomy places the organism in Eukaryota, Metazoa, Chordata, Actinopteri, Cypriniformes, Cyprinidae. The transcript is spliced from 3 exons. The record is from RefSeq and is a predicted model, not a curated record.
GUAUACUUUUUAAUCUUGCAGAAUUGCAGGCCCAAAGACCCUCAGGGUGAUGGGACACUAGUGAAGAAAGUCCACCAGGUGACGAUGUCCCAGCCGAAGCGUAAUUUUAAUGCGAUCCGUUCUCCAAAAGACAUAACAUCUGAAAGUUCCAUAUCCAGCAGGUUGCUUUUCUGUUGCUGGUUUCCCUGGAUGCUCCGUGCUGAGAUGCAGUCCUAAAUCCGCUGGUUACAUCUUUAAUUCUAUCUCCCCCUCUUUUUCUGUUCCUCCUCAAGAUAAAUCUCACCCACUCGGUGUAUUUCCAUUAUUCGUAUGUGCUUCUCUUUGUGAACUACCCAGACUGCUGUCCCGCCCCUUUGACAGUAACUCAAUAGCAAAAAAAUAGUGCCUUGUCAAGUAACUAACAACCUGCAUUCCGAUGAUUGAAUUAUAUACAAACAAUCUUUUAUGAAAUCAAAAUAAGGGAAAAUCAUUCCUACUUAAAAGCCAUUCAUAUCUCUCUUUUUUUUUUUUUUUGCUAAACCACUGUGGGUAGAUUAAUGGCAGUAUUCAAGCUAGAUAAUUCAGUCAUAAUCCACAAGCAAAUAGGCUUGUGCAUAAA